This 253-nucleotide ribosomal RNA is filed under the name uncultured bacterium. RNAcentral describes it as "partial 16S ribosomal RNA". It matches the Rfam family "Bacterial small subunit ribosomal RNA", at positions 524 to 776 of the family's 1533-position model. The record is from RNAcentral.
UACGGAGGGUGCAAGCGUUGUCCGGAUUUAUUGGGUUUAAAGGGUGCGUAGGUGGCUUAUUAAGUCAGUGUUUAAAGUCAACAGCUCAACUGUUGGAAUGGCAUUGAUACUGAUGAGCUUGAGUAAAGUUGAGGUAGACAGAAUUGAUGGUGUAGCGGUGAAAUGCGUAGAUAUCGCUUGGAACGCCAAAGGUGAAAACAGGUUGCUGGGAAUGUGCCGACGCUGAGACACGAAAGCCAGGGGAGCAAACGGG